Molecule: long non-coding RNA, 2124 nt
Organism: Rhopalosiphum maidis (corn leaf aphid)
Lineage: Eukaryota; Metazoa; Arthropoda; Insecta; Hemiptera; Aphididae
Exons: 3
Source: RefSeq, a predicted model, not a curated record
UGUCGCCACGAUCGUUGUACGGUAAUUCCUGACGGUGUCCCGUCCACACCUGCGCCUGCACUGGCGCACCUGUGCGCGCCGCCACCGCUCCCCCAGCAUACUGGCACCGAAACGUUGUGCGCCGGCGGGUCGUAGUGGAAUAAAUAAAACAACUAAUAUAUGACUGCGACUACUUAGCUCACGGGCCACGGUCGCGGUGAAUGAAAUUUAAUAUUUUUUUUCCCCGUGUUGGCGCAGUGAAUUUUUUACCCACCACAACAACGACCCAUCGAUCAGAAUUUUCCCCCCUCGCCGCGCGAAUGCCACGGUUAUUAUUAUUAUUGUUUUUUACCACUCAGUAUUUUUUUUUACCGCCGCGCGACACCGCCGACGACUACACGCUAGCAGUCUCAAUAAACGCGCGCGUGCCGUCGUCGACUGAUCGCUGCCGCCGUCGCAUCUGUUGGCGGCGACACGAUUACGAUAACAUAGUUAAUUCGUAAUAAUUAACAUUAUUUAAUCGUUUUUGUUAUUUCGAUUCACCGUUUUAAAAAAUCCACGAAUUGCCGCCGUUUUACGCGGAUUUCUUAAAUAAUUAAGACCCCAUGUCAUUAUUAGUCUUCGUGAAAUGAUAUCAUCAACAACGCCAAAGAGGACAACGACGAAAACAACAACAAUAUUAUAAUAAUUAUAUGUAAAACCGUUUUAUCGGGAUUUUGUGUGUACGCUCGCGGUCGUUUCGUCCAGUAAAUCCGAUACAACGCUAUUAUCUGAACGUGAUAAGACAGUCCGUCCGUGUGCGUCUGCGAGUGUAUUUUUUAAUAAAUUUUUUUUACCGUAAUUCCGUUUCGGUUUUUUUUCUUUCGCUCACCGAUUUCUCCGAACUCGAAAUGCGUGUGCGUGAUUUUACGACGACCACGACUAACGCGUAUGUGUACGACCGACGACGUCGGCGCGGCGGCGGCUACACCGCCGAGGGCCGUAAUCGCUCGUAUUAUGUGUGUGUGUGUGUGUGUUGGGGGGAACGCGCGUCGUCAACGUCGUCAACGCGGCGACGGCCCUUUAUUGAUUUUUUGUAUUCGCGUGUCGUUCGGUUGUUGUUGUUGAUAAGGAGAGUGAAUUUUUUUCGUCGUCGGUCGAUAAAAUUUUUUGCGGGGGGGGGAGUUCCUCCCCCACUAGUUGUGGUCGUCCGUCAACCGCCACUACCGCCGCACCACCACUACCUCUUCCACCGUGGUUGCCUUCACUGCCUCUGGCCGCUGCUCAACGACGGCCGAUACAUGAAAAUAUUUACGGAACCGGAACUAAUGGCAGGAAAAGGCACACGCACGCACGCACGCAUAUUCGACACGCACACGAUGUGUAAACAAACAAACGUACGGAAGAUGGUGACCGAAAACGGCAACGAGCACGAAAAAGUCAUCGAUUUAGCGGGAUCCAAAACGACUGAAAAAUUCACGAAGACGAGGACUUAAACAACAACGACAAGCGGCAUCAUAGAACGCCGCUAACUGUACUUGCUCGCGUUUUCUGGUUUGGAUAGCUGCGAGUUCCAGAAGACAGAUAAAUAGUGUUCCGAGGAGCUUGAUCAGCAAAAAGUGUCUGUAUUAGAACGUAAUUAUCGUCUCGUCGUCGAAUUAACACUAGAUUAUCAUAAAUUGAUGACUUGAUGAGUGUUUAGUUCAUUUACUGAAUAAAAAUGAUACUAAUCCAAGAAUAAUUAUUGUUUAAAAAAUAAGCAUUUGGUAAAUACAUUCAACACAAAUGUUGUAUUUUGGUAUUUUCUUAUUGGCGAGACAUAAUUUUUGUUUAGAUAAGGUGAGCUAAUAUUGAUAAAUAAUUUUAGAAAAGUGUAAAACUUAUAAAUAAAUAUUAUCAAUAACUACUGGACAUUUUGAUUUUACUCAUAAUUUUAGUUUCUCGUAUUAUUAAAUAUAUCAAAAUAUUGAUUUGUUUAAUAUGUUGUGUGGAUUAUUUAUUAGAAAUUCAAUAUCUUAAACCUUUACUGUUGUUAAUGGGUAAUAUAUGAUUUUUAUUUAUGUUUUAAAAGUACCUAUUAUAAUUGUCAUAUUAUUAACUAGAAAACACUAUAUAUAUUAUAAAUGAUAUUUAAUAAUUUAGAAACAAUGCAUUAUUAAUUAAUUC